This 468-nucleotide ribosomal RNA is filed under the name uncultured bacterium. Its description in RNAcentral is "partial 16S ribosomal RNA". It matches the Rfam family "Bacterial small subunit ribosomal RNA", at positions 28 to 507 of the family's 1533-position model. The record is from RNAcentral.
GACGAACGCUGGCGGCGUGCUUAACACAUGCAAGUCGAACGGAAAGGCCCUGCUCGGGUGGGGUGCUCGAGGGGCGAACGGGUGUAUAACACGUGUAUAACGUGCCCUUGACUGGGGGAAAUCUUGAGGAAAGUGGGGCUAACACCGGAGAGGCGCCCGCGCUGCGGGGGGGGGGGGGGAGAGUUUCGGCGGUGGGGGGUGGACGCGGGGUUUUUCAGCUUGUUGGUGGGGGAGUGGCUUACAAAGGCUUUGGCGGGUAGCGGGCCAGAGGGGGGCACCGGCAACAUUGGAACUGGGAUACGGCCCAGACCCCUACGGGGGGAAGCGGUGGGAAAUAUUGCACAAUGGGCGGAAGCCUGAUGCAGCAACGCCGGGUGCGGGAGGACGGCUUUGGGGUGGAAAACGCCUUUGGCCUGUACGGAAGCGUGUGUGACGGUAAUGGGUAAAGAAGCACCGGCUAACUACGUG